AGAGUCCCCCACACAUUGAAUCCUUUCCCUUCCUUGACGUUACUUACUAUCUUCCAGCCGAAACAAAAACUAUUACCCCUUUUUGGAUAAGUCCUUUUCCAUUUUCGUUCUUCAAUUUUCUUGUGAUCUCAAAAAUCUUUGAUGGGGAGAUUAUUUGUGUUGACUCUUGAAGGCAAGAUCUACAGCUGCAAGCACUGUGGAACUCAUCUUGCCCUUUCUGAAAACAUUGUUUCCAAGUCUUUCCACUGCAGACAUGGGAAGGCUUAUCUCUUCAGUAAAGUGGCGAAUGUCACUUCUGGCGAGAUAGAAAAUAGAAUGAUGAUGACUGGUAUGCACACUGUGGCAGACAUUUUCUGCGUCUGUUGUGGGUCAAUUGUUGGAUGGAAAUAUGAGACCGCCCAUGAGAAGAGCCAAAAGUACAAAGAAGGAAAAUCAGUGCUUGAGCGGUUUAAGAUUUGUGGCCCUGAUGGAAGCCAUUACUGGGCUAGUCAUGAUACUCAUGUUGCAGGAAGUGAUGCUGAAGGUGUUUGAUCACCAUCCAGAACAAAAAUUCCCAAAAUAGAACUCAGGUGGUAUUAAAGAGGAUUUCAUUAGCUAGAGAGUGUGAUUCGGUAACACCUGUCUUUCCACUGCAGACAUGGGAAGGCUUAUCUUCAGUAAAGUGUAAGUCUCUUUGAUUCUGCACAUUCAAUCAUCAGAUAUGUUUGUGACAUUUUCCUAUGUCCAAUCUUUAAACUUGCAGCAUGAAAAUCACAAGUGCAACUUACAACUUCUGUUGGUUUUAUUCUUGUUAGAGUAUGAAUUACCAUUUAUUUCCUCUGAUUGUUGUUAAGCUUUUCUUGGCAUCGAUGGGACAUGAGUUAUUUGUAGCUUGGUUAGAUGAACAAUGAUAUUACUACGGUCAAGCUUAUCCAUACCUCUGGUACAGAAAGAUGAAAAAAGCUACUAGAUAAAUCCUCUUAUUUGACUUCCACCCAUUCUUUUAUUGGUGUGGAGGACACUAUUAAACUAGAAAGUGCAAAAAGAUGAAGUAUUGAAGAAUUCAUGUUGGUAGUAGUUAGCCAAAAUUUUCAUGAUUUGAAAUGAAAAAAGAUUUGUUUUUCAAAAGUUGAGUGCAGCUGGAGUAUGUGCAAAUUAUUUGGCUUUUACUCUAUGUGGGUCAGAUAGCUCUCAGGAUCUUUGAUUUUGUUAUUAGCUCCGAGUCAUUAUUAUUAUGGAAGGUCAUAACUCAUAACCAACCUAGAAUGUUUGAGUGCACAUGAAAAGUUGUGAACAAGGUAGGAUAUACCUUGUAGGUUUAGUUUGUUAAUGACAUGGUACUGUAUAUGUGUAUCUUCAUACAUUUGUGUCAUUGAC
Molecule: RNA transcript, 1356 nt
Organism: Solanum tuberosum (potato)
Lineage: Eukaryota; Viridiplantae; Streptophyta; Magnoliopsida; Solanales; Solanaceae
Gene name: protein yippee-like
Exons: 7
Source: RefSeq, a predicted model, not a curated record